This 758-nucleotide long non-coding RNA is filed under the name Medicago truncatula (barrel medic). RNAcentral describes it as "lncRNA gene49953". The record is from RNAcentral. Lineage: Eukaryota; Viridiplantae; Streptophyta; Magnoliopsida; Fabales; Fabaceae.
UAUAUUCUCCACUCCUAGCUGUCUGCUCGAACGGGAAUUUCAUCAUUGUAUUGUAUGUAUUUGAUUCAUUUGUGUUGUUGACUUCAGGUCAGAGUUAGCAAUACUUUUGAAGAGAAUGAGGGCUAUGCUAAACUGGUCACCCUAUUUUGUUGGGACUCUGAAGUGCCGACUCAAAAAGGAUCUGCAUCAACAAUCACACGAUUAAGGUCUUAUUGAUGGUAAGUAUCAUGAUUAUUCCAUAAUUUUCUGUUUGUUUUAUAAUAAUGAUCAUAGUUCUGGUUUAGCUUACUUUUACAAUCGUUGAUUGGCCAUUUUGAUUUGGGUCCAAACCGUGUUUUCCCAAUAAACUCAUGUGCUUAUCUACACUGUCAUUUCUUGUUAUAUCUGGCUAAUGAUGGGUGUUUUUAUCAAGUACUUGAGUGUUUUGAACUUUACCCGAUAAUUUUGUAUAACAGCCACUAUUUUUGUCCUUUUGUUUUUGACUUGAAUCUUGAAUUCUUUUGAGGUUCAUGUAUCAACUUAUAUUUUUGCAAAGUCACUUGUUUUUACUUAAAAAUAUCAUAUUUUAUUGAUCAUGUAUCUUAACAAUACCAUUCUUAACAUGAUAGAUUAGAUCAAGAAUUCAGCAAAUAGGUCUUCCGAUCCAUUUGAAUCUCGAUUCGAUAACCACGUUAUUGAGAUAUAACAUGGAUCUCAAAGUUUAUGUUUUUUUUCUUCUUAAGAUUUGAUUCCUUUCCAGUCCAGCUGAAUUGAUUUAU